GCAUAUUGAUUAGACGGAUCCGGUCUGACUCAGAUAUGUAUAUGUUUUUGAUAAAAAGGGGGUGCGGGUUUAAAUAAAAAUUUUUUUUGUUUUUGAUAAAACGGGGUAUGACUGUUUAAACGAGGGCUUAACUGUCUCCCCCUUCAGGUCAGUGAAAUUGAUCUAUCCGUGCAGAAGCGGAUAUAAGAAUACAAGACGAGAAGACCCUUUGGAGCUUUAGGUACAAGGCUUACUUACGUCAAAUAAUCUAAUCAAGGCGCAAAACUUAGUAAAACAUAAGACUUUACCUUCGGUUGGGGCGACCAUGGAGGAAAAAAUAGCCUCCAAGUGGAUUGGACACAUCCCAAAAACCAAGAGAAACAUCUCCACGUCACAGAACAUCUGACCAAUUAUGAUCCGGUUACAAAACCGAUCAACGGACCAAGUUACCCUAGGGAUAACAGCGCAAUCCUCUCCAAGAGUCCAUAUCGACGAGGGGGUUUACGACCUCGAUGUUGGAUCACGACAUCCUAAUGGUGCAGCCGCUAUUAAGGGGUUCGUUUGUUCAACGAUUAUAGUCCUACGUGAUCUGAGUUCAGAACCAGGA
RNAcentral lists this ribosomal RNA (586 nucleotides) under Devario aequipinnatus. RNAcentral describes it as "partial large subunit ribosomal RNA". It matches the Rfam family "Bacterial large subunit ribosomal RNA", at positions 1825 to 2622 of the family's 2925-position model. The record is from RNAcentral. Lineage: Eukaryota; Metazoa; Chordata; Actinopteri; Cypriniformes; Danionidae.